GUGAAGAACGUAGCGAAAUGCGAUAAGUAAUGUGAAUUGCAGAAUUCAGUGAAUCAUCGAAUCUUUGAACGCACAUUGCGCCCUCUGGUAUUCCGGGGGGCAUGCCUGUUCGAGCGUCAUUACAACCCUCAAGCUUUGCUUGGUAUUGGACAUUGCCAGUUUCUGGCAGGUCUUAAAAUCAGUGGCGGUGCCAUUUGGCUUCAAGCGUAGUAAUUCUUCUCGCUUUGGAGAUCCAGGUGGUUACUUGCCAAUAACCCCCAAUUUUUUCAGGUUGACCUCGGAUCAGGUAGGGAUACCCGCUGAACUUAAGCAUAUCAAUAAGCGGAGGA
Molecule: unclassified non-coding RNA, 329 nt
Filed under: soil metagenome
Description: partial contains 5.8S ribosomal RNA, internal transcribed spacer 2, and large subunit ribosomal RNA
Rfam family: 5.8S ribosomal RNA (bases 2-119)
Source: RNAcentral